RNAcentral lists this transfer RNA (87 nucleotides) under Acidobacteriaceae bacterium. RNAcentral describes it as "tRNA-Leu". It matches the Rfam family "tRNA". From Rfam's summary of the family: Transfer RNA (tRNA) molecules are approximately 80 nucleotides in length. Their secondary structure includes four short double-helical elements and three loops (D, anti-codon, and T loops). RNAcentral also lists the same sequence under 2 other names. The record is from RNAcentral. Lineage: Bacteria; Pseudomonadati; Acidobacteriota; Terriglobia; Terriglobales; Acidobacteriaceae.
GCGGAUGUGGCGGAAUUGGCAGACGCACUGGAUUUAGGUUCCAGCGCUCGCAAGGGCGUGAGAGUUCAAGUCUCUCCAUCCGCACCA